GAGAGAGAGACCUUGCAGAGAGAGAUAUCAUUGGUGUUCUCAGUCUUCGACUCCCAUAUCUGUUUCAUUCAACAAAUCAGCACGAACCCAGAUAUAUUUUUAACAUUUACAACAAAACUCACCAACCAAGUUCCAGUAAUUCAUCUAGAACUCCCCCUGCGUCACCAAUUCCAAGUUUAUAAUUUCUUUGGAAUAUGUUUCAGACUUCUCUCAAAACGUCUAUGGCGGCGAACCCAAAAAGCCACCCUUUUUAACCGAUCCAAAAGUUUCACCCUUUCCGACUCCCAAAACAACUGACUAUUUAUGGGUUGUUGCUGAUUUCGCUGCCCAUUCAAGCUUUACAGUAAUGGCCUCGAAUCCGGAGAACGAACCUAGGGCCUCGAGAGAGGUCGAGAAGCCGCCGAUUGAGCCCAUACGGCCACUUACGGUGGAGGAGAUGCGCGGCCAAGACAUUUGGAAUACCUGCGCCGUCCGCAGUGUCGUUAGUGGAGUUAUGGUGAAACAUAUAUCAAUCAAACCAACAAGGCUGUGGUGAUGGGAAUAAUCGUUCUAAGGUAUGUAUCUGAGUGUGAUAGUAUGCCUUUCGUGUACUCUUUGUCACCGUUGCUUUUUGCUUUUUGCUAAAUACUUUGUCAACUAACAAGGGGUUUGGUUAUGGAAUUGGUUGUGGAAUUGUAUAUAAAUGGUUAUGACGAAAGUUUAAUAUUUCAAAUGAAGGUAAAGUAUGUCGAUCUUCUCCUUUUGUCCAGUUUCAAUGUACUAACAGAAGCAGUUAUAAUAAGCAAUAUUUUCAACAAUAGUGUUGGUUUUUGUUAGCAACCUUUGCAGGGAGUCCACUCGCAUUGGAGUUCCUGAAAAUAUGAAAUUUAGAGAGUGCCGCAUUCUAUUCGUUAUACUAGACAAACAGGUUGUAGUUGUACAGUAUAAGUUAGAUUUCACAAUCUUUUUCAUGUCGAAGAUUAUCUACAAUAAGAUUGAUUGAGAUUUGUAUGCUUCUAAAUGCUAAUGGUUAGAGAAGGAUACAAAAUUGUACCUGUAGCCUGCCAUAAGUAUCACACUUUCUGUCUAUAAUUCUCUGUAAACUUUACUUCACUUUCUUCAAUUUUAUAUUGUGUACUCAAAAAUUAAAAAAAAAAAAUUGAAUUGAAGUC
Molecule: long non-coding RNA, 1151 nt
Organism: Pyrus x bretschneideri (Chinese white pear)
Lineage: Eukaryota; Viridiplantae; Streptophyta; Magnoliopsida; Rosales; Rosaceae
Exons: 2
Source: RefSeq, a predicted model, not a curated record